GUAUGGAAUUAUCCCAGCCUAAGACAGCUUGCAAAGCUCACCGGGCACUCAUCCAGAGUUCUCCAUCUGGCAGUAUCUCCUAAUGGGGAAACAAUUGUAACUGCCGAUGGGGAUGGGACUAUUUGCUUCUGGGAUGUGUUCAGCAGAGCUCAUUCGCAGAAGGAGAAUAGAUCCAGCCUGAAUCUCUUCUCGGGCAUCCGAUGAGGGGCUUGUAGAUGGAAAGUUAUUGUGAAGCCAAAUCCUUCAGCUUUUUCUUGUUAUCACACAAUAAAAGAUACUUAUAUUUAUUUUUGUUUAUAUUCUGUUCAUUGUACAUUGAUUUUAUUAAAUUAUUUGUUGUAUUUGAUAAUUUAAUAUGUAUCAUAGACAUUUUGAAGCAUCCACCUUGGAGUGUUAAUAAAUUAUAUUCUCAA
Cryptotermes secundus is the source of this 413-nucleotide long non-coding RNA. RefSeq lists it as uncharacterized. The transcript is spliced from 2 exons. The record is from RefSeq and is a predicted model, not a curated record. NCBI's taxonomy places the organism in Eukaryota, Metazoa, Arthropoda, Insecta, Blattodea, Kalotermitidae.